This 559-nucleotide long non-coding RNA is filed under the name Marmota monax (woodchuck). Lineage: Eukaryota; Metazoa; Chordata; Mammalia; Rodentia; Sciuridae. The record is from RNAcentral.
GAAUCAUCAUUUGUAUGACUGUCACACAAAGGGAACAUAUGGCCAGUCAAGAAAGAAGACUGUACCCACACCAUGGGCCUGAUCUAUUUCCCUCCUGCUUGAGAAAGUGAGGAAUGUGUGAAAGUAGAAGCCCUCUCCCCCUUCUCAGCGUGCACACACACCUGAAUGUACACGCACACACACUCAUACUUACACGCUCUGUGCAAGGAGGAGGAGGAGGACUUCUAUUUGAAAGUGGUUGAAUUCCAGAGUGAAAUUUAAAUUUGGCAAGAUGCUGGCAACUCCCUUCCUCAAAUUAUGACCAUAAAUAUCUCCAGACAUUGCUAAAUGUCCCCUGAGGAGCAAAAUUCCCUCCACCCCCCAAGUUGAAAAUUCUUGCUCUGGGGAAAGAUCUCAUCCUUGAGUGGCUGCAUCUCUGUCCUUUUACCUGUUACUCAGACAUCCUGUGCCACAAAGUGUAAAUUAAAGGGAAUACACCUACUGACAAGCCACGGAAAGAGCAGAUGUUUGCUAGCAGAAUCAGGGGAAAGCUAGCAGUGCGUGGCAAAUCACUGGAAUU